Molecule: ribosomal RNA, 311 nt
Filed under: uncultured bacterium
Lineage: Bacteria
Description: bacterial SSU rRNA
Rfam family: Bacterial small subunit ribosomal RNA
Source: RNAcentral
GAUGAACGCUGGCGGCGUGCCUAACACAUGCAAGUCGAACGAAGCGCUUUGAAGUUUUCGGACAGAUGAGUGACUGAGUGGCGGACGGGUGAGUAACGCGUGGGUAACCUGCCUCAUACAGGGGGAUAACAGUUAGAAAUGACUGCUAAUACCGCAUAAGUGCACAGCUUCGCAUGAAGCAGUGUAAAAAACUCCGGUGGUAUGAGAUGGACCCGCGUCUGAUUAGCUAGUUGGNGGGGUAACGGCCUACCAAGGCGACGAUCAGUAGCCGGCCUGAGAGGGUGAACGGCCACAUUUGGGACCUGAGACAC